This 472-nucleotide ribosomal RNA is filed under the name uncultured soil bacterium. Its description in RNAcentral is "bacterial SSU rRNA". It matches the Rfam family "Bacterial small subunit ribosomal RNA", at positions 26 to 518 of the family's 1533-position model. The record is from RNAcentral.
AGGACGAACGCUGGCGGCGUGCUUAACACAUGCAAGUCGAGCGGUAAGGCCUUUCGGGGUACACGAGCGGAGAACGGGUGAGUAACACGUGGGUGAUCUGCCCUGCACUCUGGGAUAAGCCUGGGAAACUGGGUCUAAUACCGGAUAUGACCUGCUCUCGCAUGGGGGUGGGUGGAAAGAUUUAUCGGUGCAGGAUGGGCCCGCGGCCUAUCAGCUUGUUGGUGGGGUAAUGGCCUACCAAGGCGACGACGGGUAGCCGACCUGAGAGGGUGACCGGCCACACUGGGACUGAGACACGGCCCAGACUCCUACGGGAGGCAGCAGUGGGGAAUAUUGCACAAUGGGCGAAAGCCUGAUGCAGCGACGCGCGUGAGGAUGAAGGCCUUCGGGUUGUAAACCUCUUUCAGCAGGACGAAGCGUGAGUGACGGUACUGCAGAAGAAGCACCGGCUAACUACGUGCCAGCAGCCGAC